This 440-nucleotide ribosomal RNA is filed under the name uncultured bacterium. RNAcentral's name for it is "partial 16S ribosomal RNA". It matches the Rfam family "Bacterial small subunit ribosomal RNA", at positions 338 to 795 of the family's 1533-position model. The record is from RNAcentral.
CCUACGGGGGGCAGCAGUGGGGAAUAUUGCACAAUGGGGGAAACCCUGAUGCAGCGACGCCGCGUGAGUGAAGAAGUAUUUCGGUACGUAAAGCUCUAUCAGCAGGGAAGAAAAUGACGGUACCUGACUAAGAAGCCCCGGCUAACUACGUGCCAGCAGCCGCGGUAAUACGUAGGGGGCAAGCGUUAUCCGGAUUUACUGGGUGUAAAGGGAGCGUAGACGGCAGCGCAAGUCUGGAGUGAAAUCCCAUGGCUUAACCAUGGAACUGCUUUGGAAACUGUGCAGCUAGAGUGCAGGAGAGGUAAGCGGAAUGCCUAGUGUAGCGGUGAAAUGCGUAGAUAUUAGGAGGAACACCAGUGGCGAAGGCGGCUUACGGGACUGUAACUGACGUUGAGGCUCGAAAGCGUGGGGAGCAAACAGGAUUAGAUACCCGGGUAGUC